RNAcentral lists this long non-coding RNA (795 nucleotides) under Homo sapiens (human). RNAcentral's name for it is "HSALNT0326611". Lineage: Eukaryota; Metazoa; Chordata; Mammalia; Primates; Hominidae. The record is from RNAcentral.
UGACACUGUGCUAGAUGGAUUUCAGUUGUCCUUCCAGAUCUGCUCUCCACUUCUCCACACUGGCCAGCACCCUUCAUGUGCUGCUCACAAAGCCGAGAGCCACAGAGGAGCACACGGGCUCAGUUAGAUCAGCUUUUGUCUGGAAAGGAGCCUUGCAGGGCUUGGCUUUGUAUCCUGUUGGGAUGAUCAUCUCUCCAGUGUGAUGACUAAGGGUUGUGUCCAGUUAGUGCACUAGCAACUGAAGUUAGGAAGGCUCGGGUGGACGCUGCCAACCAGCAAUCCAAUCUGCCUGAUGGCCAACCCUUUGACUGCUGGGAGCCUGGAGCUUUCUGAAUCAGACAACUUCCAGACUUCACAUGUGCUGCCAAGCACAAGAUAUAUUCUGGAAAAGAAGAGGAGGAGGAAGAAGAAUGACUGUAAAGGAAGGAGCAGUACUGUUUUCAUGAGGACCUACUAUGUGCCAGACAUUAUUCUAGGUGCUGGGGCUACCAUGGGAAACUUGCAGCUACUUGGGAGGCUAAGGUGGGAAGAUCGCUUGAGCCCAGGAGGUCGAGGCUGCGGUGAACCAAGAUUGUGACACUGCACUCCAGCCUGGGCAACAGAUGCUGUGUGAAGAUGAAGGCAGAGAUCAGGCUGAUGCUUAUGGAAAGCCAGAGAUUGCCAACAAACCACCAAAAGCUAGGAGAGAGGCCUGGAACAGAUUCUCUCUGAGUCCUCAGAAGGAACCAACCCUGCCAACACUGUGAUCUUGGACUUCUAAACCCCAGAACUGUGAAAUAAUAAAUGUCUGAUGUC